RNAcentral lists this ribosomal RNA (407 nucleotides) under Verrucomicrobiota bacterium. Its description in RNAcentral is "Verrucomicrobia bacterium partial 16S ribosomal RNA". It matches the Rfam family "Bacterial small subunit ribosomal RNA", at positions 355 to 776 of the family's 1533-position model. The record is from RNAcentral. Lineage: Bacteria; Pseudomonadati; Verrucomicrobiota.
UGGGGAAUAUUGGACAAUGGAGGAAACUCUGAUCCAGCAAUCCUGUGUGUGUGAAGAAGGUUUUAGGACUGUAAAACACUUUUAGUAGGGAAGAAAAAAAUGACGGUACCUACAGAAGAAGCAACGGCUAAAUACGUGCCAGCAGCCGCGGUAAUACGUAUGUUGCGAGCGUUAUCCGGAAUUAUUGGGCUUAAAGGGCAUCUAGGCGGUAAGACAAGUUGAAGGUGAAAACCUGUGGCUCAACCAUAGGCUUGCCUACAAAACUGUUGAACUAGAGUACUGGAAAGGUGGGUGGCACUACACGAGUAGAGGUGAAAUUCGUAGAUAUGUGUAGGAAUGCCGAUGAUGAAGAUAGCUCGCUGGACAGAAACAGACGCUGAAGUGCGAAAGCUAGGGGAGCAAACAGG